This 497-nucleotide ribosomal RNA is filed under the name uncultured bacterium. Its description in RNAcentral is "partial 16S ribosomal RNA". It matches the Rfam family "Bacterial small subunit ribosomal RNA", at positions 28 to 507 of the family's 1533-position model. The record is from RNAcentral.
GAUGAACGCUGGCGGCGUGCCUAAUACAUGCAAGUCGAGCGAACAGACGAGGAGCUUGCUCCUCUGACGUUAGCGGCGGACGGGUGAGUAACACGUGGAUAACCUACCUAUAAGACUGGGGUAACUUCGGGAAACCGGAGCUAAUACCGGAUAAUAUAUUGAACCGCAUGGUUCAAUAGUGAAAGACGGUUUUGCUGUCACUUAUGGAUGGAUCCGCGCCGCAUUAGCUAGUUGGUAAGGUAACGGCUUACCAAGGCAACGAUGCGUAGCCGACCUGAGAGGGUGAUCGGCCACACCGGAACUGAGACACGGUCCAGACUCCUACGGGAGGCAGCAGUAGGGAAUCUUCCGCAAUGGGCGAAAGCUUGACGGAGCAACGCCGCGUGAGUGAUGAAGGUCUUCGGAUCGUAAAACUCUGUUAUUAGGGAAGAACAAAUGUGUAAGUAACUAUGCACGUCUUGACGGUACCUAAUCAGAAAGCCACGGCUAACUACGUG